Molecule: long non-coding RNA, 2116 nt
Filed under: Sus scrofa (pig)
Lineage: Eukaryota; Metazoa; Chordata; Mammalia; Artiodactyla; Suidae
Description: lncRNA (ENSSSCG00015070701.1)
Source: RNAcentral
CUGAUACCAGAGAAAGAGAACCCGGUAUGGCUUUCUUUUUUUUCUUGUUUGUUUUUUUCUUUUUCUUCUUUUUUAAAAUGCUUUUCUAGGAGUUCCUAUUGUGGCUCAACAGUAAGGAACCCUACUAGUAUCCAUGAGGAUGAGGGUUCAAUCCCUGGCCUCGUUCAGCGGGUUAAGGAUCCAGCCUGGCCAUAAGCUGUGGUACAGGUCACAGAUGCGGCUCAGAUCUGGCGUUGCUGUGGCUGUGGUGUAAACCAGCAGCUGCAGAUACGAUUUGACCCUUAGCUGCGGGUGUGGCCCUAAAAAGCCAAAACAAACAAACAAACAAAUAAAAAAACCCACACAAAAUUACUUUUCUAUUUGUUUGUUUUGUAAGCAUGGCUUUCUUGACACAAGAGAAGCCAUUUUGGCCUACAGCAUUUUGUGAUCAAAGCUUGGCCACAAUGCUUGCUCUUCAACAGGUCUCAGUCAUUAAUGAUCUUAAGGGAAGGAAUGAAGAAACUGAGGAAAAGCACUUAAGAAAGAUAGCUUGGAGAAAAUUACAGUGUCCUAGUUCCUCCUCAAAGCAUCCACAAAAACAAUUUGAUACAGUCUUUCAGAUAUGCAGGAACUAAGAUCCCCACCCAAGUGGAGGACAGAAAGAUGUUGACCCUUCAGACUUCAAUUUUAUGCCUUCACCCCAAUUCUAUGCUGGAAUAUCCUCGGCUCAUGCCCCCUCGUGAAUAUGCAUGUACCCUUAGCUGGUACUUCCCCAGUUUUGCUGUUGGAAGACACUACUUUGGGAAAGAUCCCCAGUGGUCUCCUUACUUGCUGCAAUAAUAAUAAAUCCUUCCUUAUCCUGAUCUUUGGCUUGGUUGUGUCUUUUGACUCGACACCCACCAAGAAGCAAACCCAGUUUUCUGAUAACAGUUGAAACAGCACAGGAGUCCUUCCGUAGGUGCAGGUUAAGCUGUGGUCCACCCCCACCAUGGAAGGCUGCUCAGCACUAAAGGACCAAAGUACUAACACAGGUAACAACUCAGAUGAAUCUGCAGGGAUGCAUGUGCUGAGUGAGACAAGCCAAUCCCAAAGGGUGACAUACUACAUGAUUCCAUUUAUAUAACAUUUUUAGAAGGACAGCAUUUUGGAAAGGGAGAGCAGGGAUCAGGGAGGAGGGGGUGGGUAGGAGGGAGGUGGGCAUGGCUAUAAAACGGCAACCGGACAUGAAUUUUGUGCUAUGGCAGCGGUUCACAAUCUUGUGCUCAGAGCAAUGUACAGACCCAAACAUGAGACACACUUGUGUAGAACUAAACAACACACACAGAGUACAAGUAAAACUGAGGACAGCUGAACAAAAUCAGGGGGCUGGGUGGCUUCAAUAUCCUGCAGGUGACAACGUAUUAUAGUUUUGCAAGAUGUUACCAUUGAGGGAAAUUGGGUAGAGAGUACAUCUGAUCUUUCAACCACAUGUGAAUCUACAGCUAGCUCAAUAAAACAAACAAGAGACACCCUAUUUCACCCAUCAGUUUGGCAAAAAUGAAAUCAUCUCGCAACAUAAAGUGUUGACAAGGAUUUGAGAAGCAUGGCACCCUUAUCCACUGUGGCUGGGAGUAUAAUUUGUUACAGCCACUUGGAGAGUAAGACGGGCUGCAACUAGUGAAAAGUAAAAUUCAGCCUCUACACUGCCCAAUACCUCUCUACUCUUCGUUUAGAAACCCUAGAGAAACCCUCCCACAUAUGCCUGAAGAGACCUGUACAUAGGGGUGCUUAUUACAACAUUGUAUAAUAGCAGAAGAGUGGAAAUAACACAAAUAUCCUGCAUGAAGGCAAUGCAUACACAAAAUAUAGUAUAGCUAUAACACAUUGCAGUAAAAAAAUAAUGAGCUAGAUAAGAAUAUAUAUGUAUAUAAUGUUUAUAUAGGCAUAUCUCAGAAACACGUUAAAUUUAAAAAGCAAGAUAGGAGGUCCCAUCAUGGCGCAGUGGAAACAAAUCCAACUAGGAGCCAUGAGGUUAUGGGUUCAAUCCCUGGCCUUGCUCAGUGGGUUAAGGAUCCUGCAUUGCUGUGGCUGUGGUGUAGGACGGCAGCUGUAGUUCUGAUUUGACCCAUACCCUGGCAACCUCCAUACACCGCAGGUU